This 717-nucleotide ribosomal RNA is filed under the name Triticum aestivum (bread wheat). RNAcentral describes it as "partial small subunit ribosomal RNA". Lineage: Eukaryota; Viridiplantae; Streptophyta; Magnoliopsida; Poales; Poaceae. The record is from RNAcentral.
AUUGGGACCAAGUGGAUCUUCAAGAACAAGCAAGAUGCCCAUGGGAACAUCAUUUGCAACAAGGCAAGAUUGGUAGCACAAGGCUACUCCCAAGUCGAGGGUAUCGACUACGGUGAAACCUUCGCUCCUGUUGCUCGUCUUGAAUCCAUUCGUUUGUUGAUUGCUUAUGCUUCCCAUCACAACUUUAAGUUGCAACAAAUGGAUGUGAAAAGUGCUUUUCUUAAUGGUCCCAUUAAUGAAUUGGUCUAUGUCAAGCAACCCCCCGGGUUCGAGGAUCUCUACCUUCCGGAUCACGUGUAUCAACUUGAUAAGGCACUCUAUGGCCUUAAACAAGCCCCACGUGCGUGGUAUGACCACCUUACCGAGUUGCUACAAGAUCGUGGUUUUGAAGUAGGGCUAAUCGACCCCACUCUUUUUACUAAGAAGGUAACCGUGGAGUUGUUUGUAUGCCAACUAUAUGUUGAUGAUAUUAUCUUUGGUUCCCCUAACAAAGCUUUCAAUGAAGAAUUUGCCGCUCUCAUGACCUCCAAGUUUAAGAUGUCUUCGAUGGGAGAGUUGAAGUUCUUUCUUGGUUUCGACAUCAAGCAAAGAAGAGAAGGAACCUUCAUCAACCAAGCCAAAUAUACUCAAGACAUGCUUAAAAGAUUCAAGCUAAGUGAUGUCAAGCCGGCUACUACACCAAUGCCUACCAAGUGCCAACUUGACAUCGAUCCCAAU